This 447-nucleotide ribosomal RNA is filed under the name uncultured bacterium. RNAcentral describes it as "bacterial SSU rRNA". It matches the Rfam family "Bacterial small subunit ribosomal RNA", at positions 328 to 792 of the family's 1533-position model. The record is from RNAcentral.
CGUCCAGACUCCUACGGGAGGCAGCAGUGGGGAAUAUUGCACAAUGGGGGAAACCCUGAUGCAGCGACGCCGCGUGAGUGAAGAAGUAUUUCGGUAUGUAAAGCUCUAUCAGCAGGGAAGAAAAUGACGGUACCUGACUAAGAAGCCACGGCUAACUACGUGCCAGCAGCCGCGGUAAUACGUAGGUGGCAAGCGUUGUCCGGAUUUACUGGGUGUAAAGGGCGUGUAGCCGGGCCGGCAAGUCAGAUGUGAAAUCCCAAGGCUCAACCUUGGAACUGCAUUUGAAACUGUUGGUCUUGAGUAUCGGAGAGGCAGGCGGAAUUCCUAGUGUAGCGGUGAAAUGCGUAGAUAUUAGGAGGAACACCAGUGGCGAAGGCGACUUUCUGGACUGUACCUGACGCUGAGGCGCGAAAGCGUGGGUAGCGAACGGGAUUAGAUACCCGCGUA